CCCUGUGGUCUAGUGGUUAGGAGUUGGUGCUUUCGUCAUGACAGCCCAGGUUCAAUUCCUGGUUAGAGA
This 69-nucleotide transfer RNA is filed under the name Homo sapiens (human). Its description in RNAcentral is "tRNA-Glu-TTC-12-1". The record is from RNAcentral. Lineage: Eukaryota; Metazoa; Chordata; Mammalia; Primates; Hominidae.